GAGAAGCUCUUUUAGGGUUAACCCAACAAGAGGUGAAGUUGGUAACCUCUUGUUACAGACUACUGGUGUUAAGUCGUGUUUUCUGGAGGCUGAUUGACACUCGUCAUAAAACUCUACUGUUUUCUUGUGAAUUGUCUCUAAUCUUCGUUCGCAAUUCCGACAAAUCACCCCUUUAUCCUUUGAAAUCCCGCCAUAUUUUAAUAACAACUCCUUUAUCGAAAAAUCUAAUAAUUUGGAUGAUAUUUUCUUAGAUUGAUACGGUGGUUUGAACAUACCAG
This 278-nucleotide long non-coding RNA is filed under the name Mytilus galloprovincialis (Mediterranean mussel). The record is from RNAcentral. Lineage: Eukaryota; Metazoa; Mollusca; Bivalvia; Mytilida; Mytilidae.